UUUAAGCCCCAGAUAGAAGUGAAAAGCCUUGAAAGCAUAAAAUCUAUUUUUUCUUGAAAAAAAAGAGCGACCCUAGAAGCUCCUUUUUUUUUAUUAGAAAAAAAGAUUUUUUGCAGAAAGCUUAAAACGUACAGCUGGAAUAGGC
RNAcentral lists this unclassified non-coding RNA (145 nucleotides) under Flavobacterium segetis. RNAcentral's name for it is "Flavo-1 RNA". The record is from RNAcentral. Lineage: Bacteria; Pseudomonadati; Bacteroidota; Flavobacteriia; Flavobacteriales; Flavobacteriaceae.